ACGAACGCUGGCGGCGUGCUUAACACAUGCAAGUCGAACGGGUCUGCCCUGUUUUUUGCGGGGUGGGUCAGUGGCGAACGGGUGAGUAACACGUGAGUAACCUGCCCCUCACUUCUGGAUAACCGCUUGAAAGGGUGGCUAAUACGGGGUGUUCUGGCUGUGCCGCAUGGUGUGGCUGGGAAAGAUUCACUUUUGUGGUUUUUUGGUGGGGGAUGGGCUCGCGGCCUAUCAGCUUGUUGGUGGGGUGAUGGCCUGCCAAGGCUUUGACGGGUAGCCGGCCUGAGAGGGUGGGCGGUCACACUGGGACUGAGAUACGGCCCAGACUCCUGCGGGAGGCAGCAGUGGGGGGUAUUGCACAAUGGGCGGAAGCCUGAUGCAGCGACGUCGCGUGAGGGAUGGAGGCCUUCGGGUUGUGAACCUCUUUCGCCGGUGAAGAAGGUCCUGCUCUUUGUGGUGGGGUUGACGGUAGCCGGGUUAUGAAGCGCCGGCUAACUACGUG
RNAcentral lists this ribosomal RNA (499 nucleotides) under uncultured bacterium. RNAcentral's name for it is "partial 16S ribosomal RNA". It matches the Rfam family "Bacterial small subunit ribosomal RNA", at positions 29 to 507 of the family's 1533-position model. The record is from RNAcentral.